This is a long non-coding RNA of Ruditapes philippinarum (Manila clam), 870 nucleotides long. RefSeq lists it as uncharacterized. Lineage: Eukaryota; Metazoa; Mollusca; Bivalvia; Venerida; Veneridae. The transcript has 3 exons. The record is from RefSeq and is a predicted model, not a curated record.
CUGAGGGUAGAGUGUCACCGAGGCAACUCCUGAGGGUAGAGUGUCAACCGAGGCAACUCCUGAGACUAAUGUAUCACCGGAGAACAGUGCUACAUCUGAGCCGAAUCCUGGUGGCGAAAGUCCAGAAGGGGAGGGUUCCCCAAAGGAGAGGGAUAUCCAGCAGGAGAAGGAAUUCCAGAAGGAGAGGGAGAUCCAGAAGGAGAAGGAAAAUUCAGAAGGAAAGGGAGAUCCAGAAGGAGAAGGAAAUUCAGAAGGAGAGGGAGAUCCAGAAGGAGAAGGAAAGUCAGAAGGGGAAUCGGAAGGAGAGUUGUAUCCUGUGGGGCGAGAGGCUUCCAGAAGUUUAUUGGUCCCAAGAAGAUAACAGGACGCCAGAGAACGAGAGACAUCCAGAAAAUGAACCUGAAAAACCUGAACCGGAAGAUAAUAAAAAAACACCACUAUAAAAGAUCUCAGAGAUACGGAUGAUAUCAACUCAGUCAACGAGGCUCUAGAAAAAAACACUGAUAAUUGUACUUAUUUUGUUUACCGUCCUGUUAACAACUUGUGUCUGCUUUCUCUGGAAAGGAAAAUCUCGCAGAAGCAAAAUGGACUUUAAAAAGGAGAUACCAGAGUUCUUUGUCGCAGUCGGUCCAGGGGAGUUCAAGCAGACGGUUAUUCAGCUACCAGCAAAUAAGGAAAAAGUCGGACUUAGCAACUGAAUGUCUUUUAACGACGACAUGUUUUCAAUUUUUCCAUUUAUUUCAUUAAUUGAAUAUAUCCAGAGACUCUCAUGUUUCUUUGCAAUUAUUUAGCGACAUCUUCAUUUCAAGUCCCAGGCGCUUCUGAAUACUUUGUAUAAGUCUGUUUUGCAAAGUUUACUCAUUGACACAU